RNAcentral lists this ribosomal RNA (1251 nucleotides) under uncultured Acinetobacter sp. Its description in RNAcentral is "bacterial SSU rRNA". It matches the Rfam family "Bacterial small subunit ribosomal RNA", at positions 77 to 1323 of the family's 1533-position model. Lineage: Bacteria; Pseudomonadati; Pseudomonadota; Gammaproteobacteria; Moraxellales; Moraxellaceae. The record is from RNAcentral.
AGCUUGCUACCUGACCUAGCGGCGGACGGGUGAGUAAUGCUUAGGAAUCUGCCUAUUAGUGGGGGACAACAUUCCGAAAGGAAUGCUAAUACCGCAUACGCCCUACGGGGGAAAGCAGGGGAUCUUCGGACCUUGCGCUAAUAGAUGAGCCUAAGUCAGAUUAGCUAGUUGGUGGGGUAAAGGCCUACCAAGGCGACGAUCUGUAGCGGGUCUGAGAGGAUGAUCCGCCACACUGGGACUGAGACACGGCCCAGACUCCUACGGGAGGCAGCAGUGGGGAAUAUUGGACAAUGGGCGAAAGCCUGAUCCAGCCAUGCCGCGUGUGUGAAGAAGGCCUUUUGGUUGUAAAGCACUUUAAGCGAGGAGGAGGCUACUUGGAUUAAUACUCUAGGAUAGUGGACGUUACUCGCAGAAUAAGCACCGGCUAACUCUGUGCCAGCAGCCGCGGUAAUACAGAGGGUGCGAGCGUUAAUCGGAUUUACUGGGCGUAAAGCGUGCGUAGGCGGCUUUUUAAGUCGGAUGUGAAAUCCCUGAGCUUAACUUAGGAAUUGCAUUCGAUACUGGGAAGCUAGAGUAUGGGAGAGGAUGGUAGAAUUCCAAGUGUAGCGGUGAAGUGCGUAGAGAUCUGGAGGAAUACCGAUGGCGAAGGCAGCCAUCUGGCCUAAUACUGACGCUGAGGUACGAAAGCAUGGGGAGCAAACAGGAUUAGAUACCCUGGUAGUCCAUGCCGUAAACGAUGUCUACUAGCCGUUGGGGCCUUUGAGGCUUUAGUGGCGCAGCUAACGCGAUAAGUAGACCGCCUGGGGAGUACGGUCGCAAGACUAAAACUCAAAUGAAUUGACGGGGGCCCGCACAAGCGGUGGAGCAUGUGGUUUAAUUCGAUGCAACGCGAAGAACCUUACCUGGUCUUGACAUAGUAAGAACUUUCCAGAGAUGGAUUGGUGCCUUCGGGAACUUACAUACAGGUGCUGCAUGGCUGUCGUCAGCUCGUGUCGUGAGAUGUUGGGUUAAGUCCCGCAACGAGCGCAACCCUUUUCCUUAUUUGCCAGCGGGUUAAGCCGGGAACUUUAAGGAUACUGCCAGUGACAAACUGGAGGAAGGCGGGGACGACGUCAAGUCAUCAUGGCCCUUACGACCAGGGCUACACACGUGCUACAAUGGUCGGUACAAAGGGUUGCUACCUAGCGAUAGGAUGCUAAUCUCAAAAAGCCGAUCGUAGUCCGGAUUGGAGUCUGCAACUCGACUCCAUGA